CGUAGGGUGCGAGCGUUGCCCGGAUUUAUUGGGCGUAAAGGGCGCGUAGGCGGCUCGGCACGUCCGUUGUGAAAUCGCCCGGCUCAACUGGGCGGGGUCGGCGGAUACGGCCGAGCUGGAGCAAGCUAGGGGGUAAUGGAAUUCCCGGUGUAGUGGUGGAAUGCGUAGAUAUCGGGAGGAACACCAGUGGCGAAGGCGGUUACCUGGAGCUUUGCUGACGCUGAUGCGCGAAAGCGUGGGGAGCGAUCCGGAUUAGAUACCCGGGUAGUCCACGCCGUAAACGAUGCGGACUAGGUGUCGGGGGUAUCGACUCCCUCGGCGCCGCAGCUAACGCAUUAAGUCCGCCGCCUGGGGACUACGGCCGCAAGGCUA
Molecule: ribosomal RNA, 372 nt
Filed under: uncultured organism
Description: bacterial SSU rRNA
Rfam family: Bacterial small subunit ribosomal RNA
Source: RNAcentral